GUUGAAACACCAGUUCCCGUACGAUCAUCGAAGUUAAGCAACGUCGAGCCUGAUCAGUACCUAGAUGGGUGACCGCUUGGGAAAACCAGGUACAGUA
Acanthosepion pharaonis is the source of this 97-nucleotide non-coding RNA. The record is from the annotation of a GenBank genome assembly. NCBI's taxonomy places the organism in Eukaryota, Metazoa, Mollusca, Cephalopoda, Sepiida, Sepiidae.